UGUCUUCUUCUUCUCUCUCUAACUCUGCUAUUUUCGAUCUUCAUCUCUUCGAUGGCCGCUCCGAGUCGGAGCCUCCGACCACAACGACCACACCCACCUCUCUUAUCCCCUCUCUAAUCAUUUCAUCUUUUGCCAGUCACUUAAAAUUAAAAAGCUGUUUCUCACUCUCUCUUGAAGCUUCUCAAUCUGGAUCUGGCAUAUCGCUGGACCAUCAACCAUCGUCUUCUCUUUUUCCUGCACUUUCCCUCACACUUUCAGAUUGACUUUCCAUGCCGAGUUCAGUCCCUCUGAUAUCUAUUUAGAUCGCCAUGGAUUCUUCUUUUCAAAACCAAACAAGGCUACCUUUCUACUGUCAUCGCACAGAGUUGGUAUUCAAGAUUAUGAAUUUCCUAAAGCCAAGGUAAUUCUUUUAUUUCUCCAGGAGCAAAGCUCCACUUAAUCCCCCUUGCCUUGCCGUACCACUUUCAAAAAAUAGCUCAGUAUGGAUAUACUGGUAGUUGGGGUCAAGAAGCAUGGGGUGUGGCUUUUAGCAAAAAAUAACAUUGAUAAACCCCUCUAGUGAAAUGUCCUAUGCUGGGUUAAGUGAAAAAACUGAAUUUGAUGCAAGGGGGAAGUUACAGUAGUACAUAAGGUAGAAAGCCAGCAAUCUAUCCAUUUCUUUACAGCCGUUUCUUCUUUUCUCUUCUUUCAUCUGUUUAUCAGGUAUCAUGUUUCUGAUUGUUCUUCAUGGCUUUAUGGCGCUAUCAAAAAUUGCAUGUUGAUAUAUCCUUAGUCUUUACCAUGUUCUUCUAUAUAUUGCAUUUGCAAAUUACAAUGAAUGAAUUUUACAAGUUUUCAUUGAAAUUCAAUCAGUGACCCAAGUCUUCGAUGAAUUUUACAAGUUUUCAUGGCAUUAUGGCUCUGUCUGGUUAUAUGGGAUCUGAUAUGAUCACUUCUGAUGGGUAAAAUUAUUUUCUUUCUAUUCUUAAAAGAAUUGUGCAUCUGUAAUGCAUUUUUAGUUGUGUAUAAGAAGUGCAUUAUGCUUGCAAGGAAAGGAGCUUAUAUUGUGCGCAUUGAUUGAAAGAGGAACCACAGACAAUGAAAGGAAGGCAUUGAAGACCACCAGCUCUCCACUAGUUAAUAGAGUUUCCAAAGUUAGUGAUAGGUAAACAAUUGGGUUUUACUUUUAGCUGUGAGAAACUGAGGAAUUUAUAAUAUACUUGUUUCUUUUCCUCUGACGUAUAUGUUGAUUAAUGGACACGUGAGCUUCCAUUUGC
RNAcentral lists this long non-coding RNA (1256 nucleotides) under Rosa chinensis. RNAcentral describes it as "sRNA RchiOBHm_Chr2g0147081". The record is from RNAcentral. Lineage: Eukaryota; Viridiplantae; Streptophyta; Magnoliopsida; Rosales; Rosaceae.